RNAcentral lists this ribosomal RNA (196 nucleotides) under uncultured bacterium. RNAcentral describes it as "partial 16S ribosomal RNA". It matches the Rfam family "Bacterial small subunit ribosomal RNA", at positions 326 to 539 of the family's 1533-position model. The record is from RNAcentral.
ACGCUCGACACCUACGGGGCAGCAGUGGGGAAUAUUGCACAAUGGGGGAAACCCUGAUGCAGCGACGCCGCGUGAGUGAAGAAGUAUUUCGGUAUGUAAAGCUCUAUCAGCAGGGAAGAAGAUGACGGUACCUGAGUAAGAAGCCCCGGCUAACUACGUGCCAGCAGCCGCGGUAAUCUGAGCGGGCUGGCAAGGC